RNAcentral lists this ribosomal RNA (700 nucleotides) under uncultured bacterium. Its description in RNAcentral is "bacterial SSU rRNA". It matches the Rfam family "Bacterial small subunit ribosomal RNA", at positions 56 to 751 of the family's 1533-position model. The record is from RNAcentral.
UGCAAGUCGAACGGCAGCACGGGGGCAACCCUGGUGGCGAGUGGCGAACGGGUGAGUAAUACAUCGGAACGUGCCCAGUCGUGGGGGAUAACGUAGCGAAAGUUACGCUAAUACCGCAUACGAUCUAUGGAUGAAAGCGGGGGACCGUAAGGCCUCGCGCGAUUGGAGCGGCCGAUGUCAGAUUAGGUAGUUGGUGGGGUAAAGGCCCACCAAGCCGACGAUCUGUAGCUGGUCUGAGAGGACGACCAGCCACACUGGGACUGAGACACGGCCCAGACUCCUACGGGAGGCAGCAGUGGGGAAUUUUGGACAAUGGGCGCAAGCCUGAUCCAGCCAUUCCGCGUGCAGGACGAAGGCCUUCGGGUUGUAAACUGCUUUUGUACGGAACGAAAAGGUCCUGGUUAAUACCCGGGGCUCAUGACGGUACCGUAAGAAUAAGCACCGGCUAACUACGUGCCAGCAGCCGCGGUAAUACGUAGGGUGCAAGCGUUAAUCGGAAUUACUGGGCGUAAAGCGUGCGCAGGCGGUUAUGUAAGACAGAUGUGAAAUCCCCGGGCUCAACCUGGGAACUGCAUUUGUGACUGCAUAGCUAGAGUACGGUAGAGGGGGAUGGAAUUCCGCGUGUAGCAGUGAAAUGCGUAGAUAUGCGGAGGAACACCGAUGGCGAAGGCAAUCCCCUGGACCUGUACUGACGCUCAUG